Oxyura jamaicensis (ruddy duck) is the source of this 736-nucleotide long non-coding RNA. RefSeq lists it as uncharacterized. The transcript is spliced from 2 exons. Lineage: Eukaryota; Metazoa; Chordata; Aves; Anseriformes; Anatidae. The record is from RefSeq and is a predicted model, not a curated record.
UACUUUAUGGUGUCUCAUUCAGAGCUGUUGUCAUUAAUAUUUAUCUGUGUUUGCCAACCGCUAGCGGUUUGUGUUGUGGCCACUGUUCCUGCAAAGAGCCGUGGAUCACUGCCUGCCCUGUACCUCAAGUACGUAGGAACCUUUGUCCUUUACCUGUGUGACCUGCCUUUGAAAAGGGAUUUGACUUUCUGGCUUACCGUGUUUGAACAAGUGCUGGACAUUGCUUUGAUUCAUAUCCUUGCGUGGGUAACCAAGAAGCUGGCUCUGCAUCGCACAGCUUCUGCAAAUAAUGUUGUCUCAGGCUGAGCCUAAAUCAGCUUCCCACUGAACUGGAUGCUGCAGUUAGAAAUGAACUCUGCCCCUGAACAAGACAGUUAUUAUUCUCCUGUACAGGUGAGAUAAGGAGGCACGAAGAUUAAGCACCUCACAAAAUAUCUGAGACUGGUUGUGUUCCAACUAGAUCUUCUGAAUGACAACAUCGGGGCUCAACCCAAACAUCUCCUUGUCUCCAUGUGCUGCUUUUUGGCUCCAAAUGGGAAGACAGCCAGCAUCAGUACCUCUGCUGAAGCUGUAAGAGCCCACUUUGUGGACAGAGGUGAUGUUUUUAAGAACAUAAAUGUUAAAUUUGGAGAAAACAAACAAACGAACAUACAAGUCUUUCAUUGGAGCUUAGAAUACCAGGAGAAAGCACUUUGUAAGUAAACGUUGCAGGUAAUAAAGGCUUGGUGUCACAAGG